AUACCUUCAUCCAACGCCGAUUUAUGGCUCUAGUUGGGUAUGAAGGAUUUAUUCUUCUUGCGAAUGAAAUCGAGCAGCCAAUGAUCCUCGAAACUCUGAAAUAGUUAGCCGGCUUUUAAAUCUUCUAUGUAAGAAGAUAUUUAGACCUCUGCAAAAGGAAGCAAAACAAAAAAAAAAACUAAAACUAAAACUAAAACUAAAAGAAGAUAGCCACAAUGGCUAAGAUAAAACUCGCACUUAGACGAGAGGAUAUACAAAUCCAG
Molecule: long non-coding RNA, 263 nt
Filed under: Capsella rubella
Lineage: Eukaryota; Viridiplantae; Streptophyta; Magnoliopsida; Brassicales; Brassicaceae
Description: long non-coding RNA (CRUB_LNC002346)
Source: RNAcentral